RNAcentral lists this ribosomal RNA (471 nucleotides) under uncultured bacterium. Its description in RNAcentral is "bacterial SSU rRNA". It matches the Rfam family "Bacterial small subunit ribosomal RNA", at positions 355 to 825 of the family's 1533-position model. The record is from RNAcentral.
UCGGGAAUUGUUCACAAUGGGCGCAAGCCUGAUGACGCAACGCCGCGUGGAGGAUGAAGGUCUUCGGAUUGUAAACUCCUGUUGCUCGGGACGAAAAGCUCUGACCUAACACGUCAGAGUCUGACGGUACCGGGUGAGGAAGCCCCGGCUAACUCUGUGCCAGCAGCCGCGGUAAUACAGAGGGGGCAAGCGUUGUUCGGAAUUACUGGGCGUAAAGGGCGCGUAGGCGGCCUUCUAAGUCAGACGUGAAAUCCCCGGGCUCAACCCGGGAACUGCGUCUGAUACUGGAGGGCUUGAAUCCGGGAGAGGGAUGUGGAAUUCCAGGUGUAGCGGUGAAAUGCGUAGAUAUCUGGAGGAACACCGGUGGCGAAGGCGGCAUCCUGGACCGGUAUUGACGCUGAGGCGCGAAAGCCAGGGGAGCAAACGGGAUUAGAUACCCCCGUAGUCCCUGAGCGGGCUGGCAAGGCGCAU